AGAAGGAUGACUAGAUAUAAAUAGUAAGGACGUUUAUUUAUCGACGAAAUGUUAUGGGGGAAUAGAAAAAUAUGAUGAUCCAUAAAUUUCCUUUAUUGAAAACAAUAUAUUAAUAAAAAAAUUAUAUAAUUUCUUAAUUUUAUAAAACUUGAUGAACUGAAACAUCUAAGUAAUCAAAGGAAAAAAUUUAUACUGUAAGUACUGGUGAGGGAACAUGGUAAUUAGUUAGAGAUGUUCUGAAGAAAUAUAUUAUUAACCAAUAAUAUAAGUAGGGGCAGUAUGGUUUUAGCCCUAUAAAAAAUUUUAUUUAAAAAGAUUAAAAGCCAAAGAAGGUGUCAGUCCUGUAAUGAUAAAAUUAAAUAAAUUAUAAAGUAAAAUGUUAUAUGUUAAAUAAUAUUUGAAAAUGACAAAAAACUAUUGUUGGCUUAAAAUACUAUUUAUAAUCGAUAGUGAACUA
RNAcentral lists this ribosomal RNA (457 nucleotides) under uncultured bacterium. RNAcentral's name for it is "partial 23S ribosomal RNA". It matches the Rfam family "Bacterial large subunit ribosomal RNA", at positions 26 to 497 of the family's 2925-position model. The record is from RNAcentral.